AACGAACGCUGGCGGCAUGCCUAACACAUGCCAGUCGAACGAGACCUUCGGGGCUAGUGGCGCACGGGUGCGUAACGCGUGGGAACCUGCCUUUAGGUUCGGAAGAACUCAGGGAAAUUUGAGCUAAUACCGGAUGAUGUCUUCGGACCAAAGAUUUAUCGCCUUUGGAUGGGCCCGCGUUGGAUUAGCUAGUUGGUGGGGUAAAGGCCUACCAAGGCGACGAUCCAUAGCUGGUCUGAGAGGAUGAUCAGCCACACUGGGACUGAGACACGGCCCAGAAUCCUACGGGAGGCAGCAGUGGGGAAUAUUGGACAAUGGGCGAAAGCCUGAUCCAGCAAGGCCGGGUGAGUGAUGAAGGCCUUAGGGUUGUAAAGCUCUUUUACCCGAGAUGAUAAUGACAGUAUCGGGAGAAUAAGCUCCGGCUAACUCCGUG
Molecule: ribosomal RNA, 433 nt
Filed under: uncultured bacterium
Lineage: Bacteria
Description: partial 16S ribosomal RNA
Rfam family: Bacterial small subunit ribosomal RNA
Source: RNAcentral